UACGUAGGGGGCAAGCGUUGUCCGGAAUCAUUGGGCGUAAAGAGCGUGUAGGCGGUCCGGUAAGUCGGCUGUGAAAGUCCAGGGCUCAACCCUGGGAUGCCGGUCGAUACUGCCGGACUAGAGUUCGGAAGAGGCGAGUGGAAUUCCCGGUGUAACGGUGAAAUGCGCAGAUAUCAGGAGGAACACCAAUAGCGAAGGCAGCUCGCUGGGACGUCACUGACACUGAGGCGCGAAAGCGUGGGGAGCGAACAGG
Molecule: ribosomal RNA, 253 nt
Filed under: uncultured bacterium
Lineage: Bacteria
Description: partial 16S ribosomal RNA
Rfam family: Bacterial small subunit ribosomal RNA
Source: RNAcentral